RNAcentral lists this ribosomal RNA (252 nucleotides) under uncultured bacterium. Its description in RNAcentral is "partial 16S ribosomal RNA". It matches the Rfam family "Bacterial small subunit ribosomal RNA", at positions 524 to 776 of the family's 1533-position model. The record is from RNAcentral.
UACGGAGGAUUCGAGCGUUAUCCGGAUUUACUGGGCGUAAAGGGUGCGUAGGUGGUCUUUCAAGUCGGUGGUUAAAGGCUACGGCUCAACCGUAUUAAGCCGCCGAAACUGGAAGACUUGAGUGCAGGAGAGGAAAGUGGAAUUCUCAGUGUAGCGGUGAAAUGCGUAGAUAUUGAGAAGAACACCAGUAGCGAAGGCGGCUUUCUGGCCAUAAACUGACGCUGAGGUACGAAAGCGUGGGUAGCAAACAGG